UAUAAAUGUUUCGUAUACCUUCAUAUAUCCUCGAUAAUAUGGUUCGAGAGUCUCUACCGGGUCACCUUAAACGAUCUGACUAUGAAGGCAGAACAGUCUAUU
This 102-nucleotide non-coding RNA is filed under the name Priestia megaterium. RNAcentral's name for it is "Bacillus megaterium Guanine sequence". It matches the Rfam family "Purine riboswitch aptamer". Rfam says of the family: Riboswitches are metabolite binding domains within certain messenger RNAs that serve as precision sensors for their corresponding targets. Allosteric rearrangement of mRNA structure is mediated by ligand binding, and this results in modulation of gene expression. A class of riboswitches that selectively recognises guanine and becomes saturated at concentrations as low as 5 nM. RNAcentral also lists the same sequence under 1 other name. Lineage: Bacteria; Bacillati; Bacillota; Bacilli; Caryophanales; Bacillaceae. The record is from RNAcentral.